UCAAUAAGCGGAGGAAAAGAAACUAACAAGGAUUCCCCUAGUAACUGCGAGUGAAGCGGGAAAAGCUCAAAUUUAAAAUCUGGCAGUCUCUGGCUGUCCGAGUUGUAAUCUAGAGAAGUAAUGCCCGUGCUGGACCGUGUAUAAGUCUCCUGGGAUGGGGCGUCAUAGAGGGUGAGAAUCCCGUCUUUGACACGGACUACCAGUGCAUUGUGGUAUGCUCUCAAAGAGUCGAGUUGUUUGGGAAUGCAGCUCAAAAUGGGUGGUAAAUUCCAUCUAAAGCUAAAUAUUGGCGAGAGACCGAUAGCGAACAAGUACCGUGAGGGAAAGAUGAAAAGAACUUUGGAAAGAGAGUUAAACAGUACGUGAAAUUGCUGAAAGGGAAACGCUUGAAGUCAGUCGCGUUGGCUGGAAAUCAGCCUUGCUUUUGCAUGGUGUAUUUUCUGGUUGACGGGUCAGCAUCAAUUUUGACCGCUGGAAAAAGGCCUGGGGAAUGUGGCAGCUUCGGCUGUGUUAUAGCCCCUAGUCACAUACAGUGGUUGGGAUUGAGGAACUCAGCACGCCGCAAGGCCGGGUUUCGACCACGACCGUGCUUAGGAUGCUGGCAUAAUGGCUUUAAGCGACCCGUCUUGAAACACGGACCAAGGAGUCUAACAUGCCUGCGAGUAUUUGGGUGGAAAACUCAAGUGCGUAAUGAAAGUGAAAGUUGAGAUCCCUGUCGUGGGGAGCAUCGACGCCCGGACCAGAACUUUUGGGACGGAUCCGCGGUGGAGCAUGUAUGUUGGGACCCGAAAGAUGGUGAACUAUGCCUGAAUAGGGUGAAGCCAGAGGAAACUCUGGUGGAGGCUCGUAGCGAUUCUGACGUGCAAAUCGAUCGUCAAAUUUGGGUAUAGGGGCGAAAGACUAAUCGAACCAUCUAGUAGCUGGUUCCUG
This 930-nucleotide ribosomal RNA is filed under the name Agaricus sp. RNAcentral's name for it is "LSU rRNA". It matches the Rfam family "Eukaryotic large subunit ribosomal RNA", at positions 43 to 960 of the family's 3401-position model. The record is from RNAcentral. Lineage: Eukaryota; Fungi; Basidiomycota; Agaricomycetes; Agaricales; Agaricaceae.